GUGCUCUUUAAAGCCGCAAAACGACUCUAGUCUCUCUUUCAGCAGCUCUUUAAAUAUUGAAGAGAACCAUCUUGUCCUGUCGUCCCGUUUUCUCCCAUUGUGUUAAAACUUUGUACUUCCCUCAGCCCUGUUAUAGCAGUGUGUCCGGUCUCUUGGACGUCUGAAGAGAAGCUUCGGUGGGUCAGUGAUCACCCUGAGGCUGACCCAGAAGGAGCGAGAUUUCAGGGGUGCUGUGGUCAGAGCCUGGUGAGCCAGGACUCCAUCUCCUCAGGUCAGGAGGUUAUAAAUCAACACAGGUUCAGCAAACCUUCCUACACAAAUCAUUAGCUUCUCCGCCUCCUUUCUGGAAAUCAGAGACACUGAACAGAAACAAACAGCUUUAGUGAGAUUUGGGGUGAAAACUCAUCUCUCAAACUGUUGAGGGGAAUUUAAGAAAAUCCUGUGCGGUGACCGCCUCAGGCUGUAUCCUCUACUAAAGGCUCAGGAAGAAGGCAGAGAGUCCAGAGUUUCCCAGAUGGCUCAGCAGUAAAGAACUCGCCUGCAGUUCGGGGGACACAGGUGCAAUACCUGGUUUGGGAAGAUUCCCUAGAGGAGGAAAUGGCAACCCGCUCCAGUAUUAAUGCCUGGAAAAGCCCAUGGAUAGAGGAACCCAGCAGGCUACCGUCCACGGGGUCCCAAAGAGUUGGACGCGAUUGAGCACACGUCCACAUCUUCCUGAUGAAAAGCUUUUCCCUCCGCAUGUAGGAUCUUAGCUCCUCAACCAGAAUGGAACCUGCAUCCCCUGCAUUGGAAGGUGAAGUCUCAACCACUGGACUACCAGGGAAGUCCCAUAAAAAUGCUUUACCCAGCUGUUCUUUCAACUGUCAUCCACAAAAGAGACCAGGUCUGAACCAAAGCAAAAAUUGGCUAACUUUCUUCUCCCAAGUCUAGACAUGAGAAUUUCUUUUUUACUUUUAGCUUGAUGCCUUGGGUAAGAACAUUCAAUGUGAAUCAAUGUGGUUACAACAUAUGAAUUUUAUUAAAGAUCAUUUCGACAGCUAAAAUUCUAAAGUUUCAUAAAAACCUUAAAAUAAGUUCAAGACUAGAGAAAUGUACUGAAACUUCAUAUAAAUCUGCCUUCAUUUAAUGAAUGGAUAAUGCAGUAUUUGGAGUAUUAUUUAAAUAACAAAGGUUUGUUUUUCUUUUCAAAACAUAAAAUUAAGAGAUACAACCUUAUUUCUAAUUUCAGUAUUUAAUAUUUACUGAAGUAAAUUAGUCAUUCACCUGAGAGCAUAAUUUAAUAUGUUUCUCUCAUUUGGAGGGGAAAAUAUACUUUACUUUCUUUAUACCUUCAUUUAUUU
This is a long non-coding RNA of Bos taurus (domestic cattle), 1340 nucleotides long. NCBI's taxonomy places the organism in Eukaryota, Metazoa, Chordata, Mammalia, Artiodactyla, Bovidae. The record is from Ensembl.